This 362-nucleotide long non-coding RNA is filed under the name Anas platyrhynchos platyrhynchos (common mallard). RNAcentral's name for it is "lncRNA (ENSAPLG00000020715.1)". Lineage: Eukaryota; Metazoa; Chordata; Aves; Anseriformes; Anatidae. The record is from RNAcentral.
UUUUUUUCCUUUUCUUUCUUCAUUCCUUCUAGUAGAAGAGGGAUGCGGAAGAUUUUCUCAUAGAAUUAGUUUAGAAAGUAAUAAAAAGAGGUAAUAAUUAUGUUCCUAAACUGGCUGGAACCAAAAUAUGCGGUGGUAGAACAGUUGCAUCUAGUGGAGUCAUUUGUCUUGAAACAAGGAACGUCUACCAUCCACCAAAUGUCCCAUUGACCUUCUACUGGGCUGGUAGAACAGGACAGAAAACACAUUAUCUGAGUUUCCUGUAUCCGAGGAAGCUGGAAGUUUUCUACCCACAAAGAGAUUCUGAAGUAAUGGGAGGCAGACUUCAUCCACCUAGUUUGCACUGGAAAUCUGCAGGCUGA